This 1800-nucleotide ribosomal RNA is filed under the name Triticum aestivum (bread wheat). Its description in RNAcentral is "partial small subunit ribosomal RNA". The record is from RNAcentral. Lineage: Eukaryota; Viridiplantae; Streptophyta; Magnoliopsida; Poales; Poaceae.
AUGCGCCGUCUCCUGCCGACGCUCGCCGUCCACCUGCCGCCAUGCCCCACGCCCGCGGCUACUCCACCCGCCACCGCCGCCGGCGUCAACGUCGAGACGGUGCUCCACCACAUCGAACGUGCCAUCUCCGUGGGCGACGUCCGCCGCCUCGGCCGUGCCGCGCACGCGCUCCUCGUAAAGACGGCGCUCAACCAUCACACCCUCCUCUCCAACCGUCUCGUCGAGCUCUACGCCACGCUAAACUCCCCGGCGGCCUCCCGCGCAGCCUUCGAAGACCUCCCGUACAGGAAUGCCCAUUCCUACAACAACCUCCUGGCCGCGCUUUCACGCGGCCCCGCCACCCUCCCCGACGCCCUCCACCUGCUUGACGCAAUGCCUGCCUCCUCUCGCAACGUUGUAUCCUACAACACCGUCAUCUCGGCCCUAGCGCGGCACGGCCGGCAGAGGGAAGCACUCUGUGUGUUCGCCCGGUUGGCCAGGGACAGGUGCCUGGGGCCGGAGGUGGCCGUCGACCGUUUUGCAGUGGUCAGCGUGGCGAGCGCUUGCGCUGGGAUGGGAGCCGUGAGGCCACUCCGAGAGAUGCAUGGCGCGGUAGUGGUGUCCGGGGUGGAGGUGACGGUCAUUAUGGCCAAUGCAAUGGUGGAUGCCUACAGCAAGGCCGGGAGGGUGGAGGACGCCAGGACGUUGUUCAACCAGAUGAGCAUCCGGGACACUGUCUCUUGGACAUCGAUGAUUGCAGGGUACUGCCGUGCGAAGAGGAUCGAUGAGGCAGUCCGGGUAUUUCACAUGAUGCCGGAGCAGGACACAAUUGCAUGGACGGCACUCAUCUCUGGGCACGAGCAGAAUGGUGAGGAGGAUGCCGCUCUGGAACUUUUUCGACAGAUGCUGGUUCAGGGGAUGGCACCAACACCGUUUGCUUUGGUGUCGUCUCUUGGUGCAUGCGCCAAGCUCGGGCUUGUUAUUCGAGGGAAGGAAGUGCAUGGUUUCAUGUUGCGCCGCUGCAUCGGUUCAGACCCUUUCAACAUUUUCAUCCACAAUGCCCUCAUUGACAUGUACUCCAAGUGCGGUGACAUGGCGACUGCCAUGUUAGUGUUUGCACGGAUGCCUGAACGGGACUUCAUCUCCUGGAACUCCAUGGUGACAGGGUUCUCGCACAAUGGCCAGGGGAAGCAGUCACUUGCUGUGUUCAAAAGGAUGCUUGAAGCUGAAGUGCAGCCAACCUAUGUUACUUUUCUUGCUGUCCUAACGGCUUGCAGUCAUGCCGGUCUAGUCUCUGAUGGCCGUCAGAUUCUUGAAUCAAUGAAGUACCAUGGUGUUGAACCAAGGGCGGAACACUAUGCCUCCUUCAUAGAUGCUCUUGGUCGGAACCAUCAACUGGAAGAAGCAAGCGAGUUCAUCAAAGGUUUGUCAUCCAGGAUUGGUCCAGGUACAACUGGGUCGUGGGGGGCGCUUCUUGGCGCAUGCCGUGUUCACGGCAAUAUUGAGAUUGCAGAGGAAGUGGCGGAGUCCCUUUUCCAGUUGGAGCCUGGAAACAGCGGUCGGUAUGUCAUGUUGUCAAACAUUUACGCAGCGGCAGGUCAGUGGGAUGAUGCCCGCCGUAUCAGGGGGAUUAUGAAGGAGAAGGGUUUGAAGAAGGACCAAGCUUGCAGUUGGAUCGAGGUGCAGAAUGCGAAGCACAUGUUUGUUGCUGAUGACACGUCUCACUGUGAGGCAAAUGAGAUAUAUGGGACGCUGGACAAACUUUUUGAUCAUAUGCGUGUUGUAGUGGAUCCUGUUGAAGACCAGCUUGCGCUGUGCUGA